This 253-nucleotide ribosomal RNA is filed under the name uncultured bacterium. RNAcentral's name for it is "partial 16S ribosomal RNA". It matches the Rfam family "Bacterial small subunit ribosomal RNA", at positions 524 to 776 of the family's 1533-position model. The record is from RNAcentral.
UACGUAGGGUGCAAGCGUUAAUCGGAAUUACUGGGCGUAAAGCGUGCGCAGGCGGUUUUGUAAGUCUGAUGUGAAAUCCCCGGGCUCAACCUGGGAAUUGCAUUGGAGACUGCAAGGCUAGAAUCUGGCAGAGGGGGGUAGAAUUUCACGUGUAGCAGUGAAAUGCGUAGAGAUGUGGAGGAACACCGAUGGCGAAGGCAGCCCCCUGGGUCAAGAUUGACGCUCAUGCACGAAAGCGUGGGGAGCAAACAGG